AAGGAAACAGGAACAGAAUGGCGGAGGUGCUUUAAAACUGGACAGCAGAGGCCGGAGGGGGGAAAAUGUUUACGAUUCAGCUGGUUUUCUGAAUUUACUGCAGUUUGGAGUUGGAGGGAGUGGAACCUGAUGUCCCUUCCUGGUCCUCCCUUCCUGUUCCCACUCUCAUCCUCAGAUAAAGUCCCCCUUCCUUCCCAACAUCCCCGUGUCAUGUGGUCCUGUUCUCUAUCUAUCACGCGAGACAUUUCACCAAAAAAAGUGUCAGAUGGGAGCAGACACAGCCUCUGAAGAUCGAGGAAAGGGAAGGCAGCCCUGAGAUUGAAGAUGUCGCUCCUGCAGCCGCCUCUCACUUCAUUCCCAAUAGCAAAGUUGUGCAU
Molecule: long non-coding RNA, 377 nt
Organism: Paramormyrops kingsleyae
Lineage: Eukaryota; Metazoa; Chordata; Actinopteri; Osteoglossiformes; Mormyridae
Source: RefSeq, a predicted model, not a curated record